Molecule: non-coding RNA, 64 nt
Organism: Aphidius gifuensis
Lineage: Eukaryota; Metazoa; Arthropoda; Insecta; Hymenoptera; Braconidae
Source: the annotation of a RefSeq genome assembly
UAAUUUUUAGUUUAUUAAAACAUUAAAUUGCAAAUUUAAAAAAAUAAUUUAAUUAUAAAAUUAU